AAUAAAAUGGCUGAGUUAAGCGAUAAAUUGUAAAUUUAUUUACGAGAUAAUAUUCUCUUUUAUU
RNAcentral lists this transfer RNA (64 nucleotides) under Langia zenzeroides. RNAcentral's name for it is "tRNA-Tyr". It matches the Rfam family "tRNA". From Rfam's summary of the family: Transfer RNA (tRNA) molecules are approximately 80 nucleotides in length. Their secondary structure includes four short double-helical elements and three loops (D, anti-codon, and T loops). Lineage: Eukaryota; Metazoa; Arthropoda; Insecta; Lepidoptera; Sphingidae. The record is from RNAcentral.